RNAcentral lists this ribosomal RNA (2926 nucleotides) under Salmonella enterica. Its description in RNAcentral is "bacterial LSU rRNA". It matches the Rfam family "Bacterial large subunit ribosomal RNA". The record is from RNAcentral. Lineage: Bacteria; Pseudomonadati; Pseudomonadota; Gammaproteobacteria; Enterobacterales; Enterobacteriaceae.
GGGUUGUGAGGUUAAGCGACUAAGCGUACACGGUGGAUGCCCUGGCAGUCAGAGGCGAUGAAGGGCGUGCUAAUCUGCGAUAAGCGCCGGUAAGGUGAUAUGAACCGUUAUAACCGGCGAUACCCGAAUGGGGAAACCCAGUGUGACUCGUCACACUAUCAUUAACUGAAUCCAUAGGUUAAUGAGGCGAACCGGGGGAACUGAAACAUCUAAGUACCCCGAGGAAAAGAAAUCAACCGAGAUUCCCCCAGUAGCGGCGAGCGAACGGGGAGGAGCCCAGAGCCUGAAUCAGCAUGUGUGUUAGUGGAAGCGUCUGGAAAGGCGCGCGAUACAGGGUGACAGCCCCGUACACAAAAGCGCAUGUGCUGUGAGCUCGAUGAGUAGGGCGGGACACGUGGUAUCCUGUCUGAAUAUGGGGGGACCAUCCUCCAAGGCUAAAUACUCCUGACUGACCGAUAGUGAACCAGUACCGUGAGGGAAAGGCGAAAAGAACCCCGGCGAGGGGAGUGAAAAAGAACCUGAAACCGUGUACGUACAAGCAGUGGGAGCACCCUUCGGGGUGUGACUGCGUACCUUUUGUAUAAUGGGUCAGCGACUUAUAUUCUGUAGCAAGGUUAACCGUAUAGGGGAGCCGUAGGGAAACCGAGUCUUAACCGGGCGUUAAGUUGCAGGGUAUAGACCCGAAACCCGGUGAUCUAGCCAUGGGCAGGUUGAAGGUUGGGUAACACUAACUGGAGGACCGAACCGACUAAUGUUGAAAAAUUAGCGGAUGACCUGUGGCUGGGGGUGAAAGGCCAAUCAAACCGGGAGAUAGCUGGUUCUCCCCGAAAGCUAUUUAGGUAGCGCCUCGUGAAUUCAUCUCCGGGGGUAGAGCACUGUUUCGGCUAGGGGGCCAUCCCGGCUUACCAACCCGAUGCAAACUGCGAAUACCGGAGAAUGUUAUCACGGGAGACACACGGCGGGUGCUAACGUCCGUCGUGAAGAGGGAAACAACCCAGACCGCCAGCUAAGGUCCCAAAGUCAUGGUUAAGUGGGAAACGAUGUGGGAAGGCCCAGACAGCCAGGAUGUUGGCUUAGAAGCAGCCAUCAUUUAAAGAAAGCGUAAUAGCUCACUGGUCGAGUCGGCCUGCGCGGAAGAUGUAACGGGGCUAAACCAUGCACCGAAGCUGCGGCAGCGACACUGUGUGUUGUUGGGUAGGGGAGCGUUCUGUAAGCCUGUGAAGGUGGCCUGUGAGGGUUGCUGGAGGUAUCAGAAGUGCGAAUGCUGACAUAAGUAACGAUAAAGCGGGUGAAAAGCCCGCUCGCCGGAAGACCAAGGGUUCCUGUCCAACGUUAAUCGGGGCAGGGUGAGUCGACCCCUAAGGCGAGGCCGAAAGGCGUAGUCGAUGGGAAACGGGUUAAUAUUCCCGUACUUGGUGUUACUGCGAAGGGGGGACGGAGAAGGCUAUGUUGGCCGGGCGACGGUUGUCCCGGUUUAAGCGUGUAGGUGUGUGUUCCAGGUAAAUCCGGUUCACUUUAACACUGAGGCGUGACGACGAGGCACUACGGUGCUGAAGCAACAAAUGCCCUGCUUCCAGGAAAAGCCUCUAAGCAUCAGGUAACAUCAAAUCGUACCCCAAACCGACACAGGUGGUCAGGUAGAGAAUACCAAGGCGCUUGAGAGAACUCGGGUGAAGGAACUAGGCAAAAUGGUGCCGUAACUUCGGGAGAAGGCACGCUGACACGUAGGUGAAGUGAUUUACUCAUGGAGCUGAAGUCAGUCGAAGAUACCAGCUGGCUGCAACUGUUUAUUAAAAACACAGCACUGUGCAAACACGAAAGUGGACGUAUACGGUGUGACGCCUGCCCGGUGCCGGAAGGUUAAUUGAUGGGGUCAGCGCAAGCGAAGCUCCUGAUCGAAGCCCCGGUAAACGGCGGCCGUAACUAUAACGGUCCUAAGGUAGCGAAAUUCCUUGUCGGGUAAGUUCCGACCUGCACGAAUGGCGUAAUGAUGGCCAGGCUGUCUCCACCCGAGACUCAGUGAAAUUGAACUCGCUGUGAAGAUGCAGUGUACCCGCGGCAAGACGGAAAGACCCCGUGAACCUUUACUAUAGCUUGACACUGAACAUUGAGCCUUGAUGUGUAGGAUAGGUGGGAGGCUUUGAAGUGUGGACGCCAGUCUGCAUGGAGCCGACCUUGAAAUACCACCCUUUAAUGUUUGAUGUUCUAACGUGGACCCGUAAUCCGGGUUGCGGACAGUGUCUGGUGGGUAGUUUGACUGGGGCGGUCUCCUCCUAAAGAGUAACGGAGGAGCACGAAGGUUGGCUAAUCCUGGUCGGACAUCAGGAGGUUAGUGCAAUGGCAUAAGCCAGCUUGACUGCGAGCGUGACGGCGCGAGCAGGUGCGAAAGCAGGUCAUAGUGAUCCGGUGGUUCUGAAUGGAAGGGCCAUCGCUCAACGGAUAAAAGGUACUCCGGGGAUAACAGGCUGAUACCGCCCAAGAGUUCAUAUCGACGGCGGUGUUUGGCACCUCGAUGUCGGCUCAUCACAUCCUGGGGCUGAAGUAGGUCCCAAGGGUAUGGCUGUUCGCCAUUUAAAGUGGUACGCGAGCUGGGUUUAGAACGUCGUGAGACAGUUCGGUCCCUAUCUGCCGUGGGCGCUGGAGAACUGAGGGGGGCUGCUCCUAGUACGAGAGGACCGGAGUGGACGCAUCACUGGUGUUCGGGUUGUCAUGCCAAUGGCACUGCCCGGUAGCUAAAUGCGGAAGAGAUAAGUGCUGAAAGCAUCUAAGCACGAAACUUGCCCCGAGAUGAGUUCUCCCUGAGACUUUAAGUCUCCUGAAGGAACGUUGAAGACGACGACGUUGAUAGGCCGGGUGUGUAAGCGCAGCGAUGCGUUGAGCUAACCGGUACUAAUGAACCGUGAGGCUUAACCUUACAACGCCGAAG